AAAAAUUUUAAAAAUAGGCAGAAACCAAAAUACAAGAAGUAAACAAAUAACACAAAAAAAACACUUUUAUAGAUAGUAAUUUAAUCAGAAACCCACCUACGCCCCAGAAAAAAAGUACCGCAAGGGAAAAAUGAAAUAAAAUCAAACAAAAAAUAAAAAAAAGUAAAGCUUAAACCUCCUACCUCGUGUAUAAUGGAUUAACAAGAAAGAGGCAAAAAAAUGCCAACCCCGAAACCAAGCGAGCUAAUCUUUCUCUCUUGCAGAAAGAACAAGAUACUGUUGCAAUAGUAUCCCUAAAGAAAAGAAUAGAUGUGAAAUGCUAACCGCGCUAGGAUAUAGCUGGCUUUCCGAGAAAUUAGCCUAAGCUAAGACUUUCUAACAAAGUAGAAAAAAAUUGAAACCAUUAAAACAAACCUCCAACAAUCCUUUUUUAAGGUCAGAAAAUCAAGGACAAACUUGAUCUUCAAGAUGGAAAAAGCCAAUAUUUUCAGUUAAGGCCACCAAAAAAACAAAUAGAUUACAAAAAAAGAAUAGGCCUAGAAGCAGCCCCUUAACAAAAAAGCGUUAAAGCUUAAACAAAAAAGAAUCUAAAAAAUUAUUGAAAAAAAGCCAAGACUUAAAGAAAAUUAUCGGAAUAUUCUUUCACAAACAAGAAAAAAAAAUGUUAAUAUGAGUAAGACCAACUUUCACCUGCUAACCCUAUACGACAAUAACCAUGAAAGGAGAAAUAAUGAUAAUAAAAAACAGAUUUCACACAACGUCUUCCAACGCAGGAGAAAAAGAAAAAAAAAAAAAAAAAAAAAGGAACUCGGCAAAAGGUGCUUCGCCUGUUUACCAAAAACAUCGCCCCUCGUAAACAAAUAAAAUGAGGGGUCCUGCCUGCCCAGUGACUAAAGUUAAACGGCCGCGGUAUCUUGACCGUGCAAAGGUAGCAUAAUCACUUGUCUCCUAAAUAGAGACUGGUAUGAAUGGCAAGACGGAGCUAAACUGUCUCUUUUUUUUCCUCUGAAAUUUACUUCCACGUGAAGAGGCGUGGAUAAAAUCGCUAGACGAGAAGACCCUGUCGAGCUUAAAGCAAAAAAUAAGGCCCAUUCUACUAGUCUAAAACCACUAAUUCAAAAAUUUACAGAAACUAGACUUUAAAGCUCUUAUUAAAGCUUUGGUUGGGGCAACCGCGGAAAAGGAAAAUCUUCCGCUAAAAACAAUUAAAACAAGGAAAACUACCCUACUACCAAAAAUGAAAGAAUGAUCCACCUAGGUGAUCAAAGGAACAAGUUACCGCAGGGAUAACAGCGUUAUCUUUUUUGAGAGUUCACAUUGACAAAAAGGUUUGCGACCUCGAUGUUGGAUCGGGACAUCCUAAGGGUGCAGAAGCUCUUAAGGGUUGGUCUGUUCGACCAUUAAAGUCCUACGUGAUCUGAGUUCAGACCGGCGAAAGCCAGGUCAGUUUCUAUCUUCGUAAAAAUCUUUCUUAGUACGAAAGGACCAGAAAGAAAGUGUCCAUGCAACUGCCACUGUAAACACUACAAUUAAAAAC
This 1537-nucleotide ribosomal RNA is filed under the name Salmacis bicolor rarispina. RNAcentral describes it as "16S ribosomal RNA". It matches the Rfam family "Bacterial large subunit ribosomal RNA", at positions 195 to 2769 of the family's 2925-position model. The record is from RNAcentral. Lineage: Eukaryota; Metazoa; Echinodermata; Echinoidea; Temnopleuroida; Temnopleuridae.